RNAcentral lists this non-coding RNA (106 nucleotides) under Oceanibaculum indicum. RNAcentral's name for it is "TPP sequence". It matches the Rfam family "TPP riboswitch aptamer (THI element)". From Rfam's summary of the family: Vitamin B(1) in its active form thiamin pyrophosphate (TPP) is an essential coenzyme that is synthesised by coupling of pyrimidine and thiazole moieties in bacteria. The previously detected thiamin-regulatory element, thi box was extended, resulting in a new, highly conserved RNA secondary structure, the THI element, which is widely distributed in eubacteria and also occurs in some archaea. Lineage: Bacteria; Pseudomonadati; Pseudomonadota; Alphaproteobacteria; Rhodospirillales; Oceanibaculaceae. The record is from RNAcentral. RNAcentral also lists the same sequence under 1 other name.
CAUAGUGUGCUGGGGUGCCGGGGCGGGAUGAGCCGACGCGGCUGAGAUCAUACCCAUUGAACCUGAUCUGGAUCAUGCCAGCGAAGGGAGCGUUACCAUGUCACCU